RNAcentral lists this long non-coding RNA (1347 nucleotides) under Nicotiana tabacum (common tobacco). RNAcentral describes it as "long non-coding RNA (NTAB_LNC011455)". The record is from RNAcentral. Lineage: Eukaryota; Viridiplantae; Streptophyta; Magnoliopsida; Solanales; Solanaceae.
UGCCGCCUGCUGAGGUACCACCUGUAUCCACUAAAGAUGCAGUAUCCCCAGCAAUGAGACAUUAGUACAUAUGGAAUAAUACUAGUAUGAAAGGCUAAAUACCCUCACAUGAAAUGAAAUGUCAACAUAAGGAGAGAAAGCACGGAAGAAGGAGUAAAUCAAUAGAAAUAUACGACAAGAAGUUAUAACAUAAGAAGUGAAUGUAAAUGAGUACAACUUUUCAAAUAAACAUUAUCACUUUAGUUGGGAGAUCAUUAGUUACCGACAUAGGAAUGUAUAACUACAGUCGCACCCCCAUGCAUGGUCACCCAAACUACAGUCACACCCACAUGCAUGUGUUAUUGAAGGUCACAUAGUUACCGACAUAGGAACAUUAUCACUUUAGUUGGGAGAACAGUCGCAUAGAUUUAGUUGGGAGAAGGUAUUGUGUUAGAUCUCGACCUGAUCGGUUAAGCCAUCUCACCAUAAUGCCAUGUGAAUCGAUGUAAAUUUUCUAGAAAUACAUUCAUCCCAAUUAAGGGUCAUAAUCGCAUCAUAGUGUGAAGGGACUCAUUCCCAAUCGUCUUCCUCCACGACAUGUGUAGUUUCAUGUAUAGGUCCUUGCAACCUAUACCUUCUCGGUUACAUAAUAAUAUUCCCAAAAAUAUUUCUUUAUAGCAUUUCAUGAAACCUUUCUUUUUAUUAACACUUUUCGACAUACAUCAUCAUUAUCAUUCUGGGCACAAAUGGCCACAUAUCAUCUUCAUUCUUUCAUUUCAUUCAUGUGUCAUGGGUAAUCAAAAGUCAGAAAAAUGUAUUUAAAAUAUUGAAAAGCCAUGGCUACAAACACAUAAGUAUAUGAAAGCUUAAACACUUGAAAUGAAUUUCAAAGAAGAGAGCAUAACGAUGGAAAAUAUAACAUGAAUCGAGUUCAUAGGCAUUCAGUUAUACAAUCAUUUGAAGCAAUUUAGAACAAAGGAAAAAGGGAACUUGAAUGAAACAAACUUGGAGUUUAUAAGGAGUUCAUGAAAUCAAAUUCUAUAGGAAGGGUUUAGCCAAACAUACCUUAAUCAAACUUCCUUAGGGUUCCUACUAUGUUGCUCCACUCGUUAUACUUCAAUCUACAUCAAAAAAUUAAUUUGACCAACAUUAGAGGAUUUCUAUGUGUAAGUCAUUUAAAUAUUUUGUCAAAUACGUAGGGGGAAUAGCCCUUUACCAUCUUAGUAAUUGUGCUUUCUCAUCCUUCACACCUCUUCCAUGACCAAUUCACACCCAUAGUUACCCUUGGUUACUAUGUGACCUUCAACAACACAUGCAUGGUCACCCAAACUACACCCAACCAAUAACUACAUCAAAAAAUACCUUCUC